Molecule: long non-coding RNA, 676 nt
Filed under: Scleropages formosus (Asian bonytongue)
Lineage: Eukaryota; Metazoa; Chordata; Actinopteri; Osteoglossiformes; Osteoglossidae
Description: lncRNA (ENSSFOG00015028123.1)
Source: RNAcentral
GUUUAAACUGAGUGUAGCGGAAAUUGUAGCUAGAGCGCGAAACAGAUUUACCGUCUGAGCGGUAAAGGAAAAAAUAUGAAGCGUGAGCGCGAAACAAAAUGUUUGCGAGUCGUGUGAACAAGCAGACAGCCGCUCAUGCUGAUCAUUCCCAUGGUUUCUGUACAGUAACUGUAAUGUCUGCGUUGUAGCGCUGAGCGACACGGUUCAAUCAGCUACUACGAGGAAGUGAACACAUUGCGGAGCCAUGACUCUGGGGAAAAGGGCUCCUCGAGCAGCGCUGCCCAUCUGGGAGGUCUUCGUCUACUGGCUUCUGUCCUUGGGUUCUCACUUGUACUCCUUUUAUGAGCUGCACAGGUUCUCCAAAGGUCCAGAUCCAGAAUAAAUUUAAGGGUACUUCAGCGUUCUGCAUUGGGUUGGUCAUCUCAUCAAUAUGGUUGUUUCAUCUGAACCAGUCUACGGCACCUUAUGAAAGACAUUAAGUUUUGGAUGUUCCCCACAAGAUGAGUAAUCUACAUUUACAUUCUCAUUCAUUCAUUUAGAAGACACCUUUGGAUGCGGACACGUGAUUCUUGAGUACAAUUUGUCACGUUCUACCAUACGAACCAGGAGACGUCGCAAGUAGCCUUUCCAUCAUUAAACAAAUUGUCACUAAAACUUAUUACGCAUACUUAUCAAG